This 433-nucleotide ribosomal RNA is filed under the name uncultured bacterium. RNAcentral describes it as "partial 16S ribosomal RNA". It matches the Rfam family "Bacterial small subunit ribosomal RNA", at positions 29 to 507 of the family's 1533-position model. The record is from RNAcentral.
AACGAACGCUGGCGGCAGGCCUAACACAUGCAAGUCGAGCGGACCCUUCGGGGUUAGCGGCGGACGGGUGAGUAACGCGUGGGAAUAUGCCCUUCUCUACGGAAUAGUCCUGGGAAACUGGGGGUAAUACCGUAUACGCCCUUUGGGGGAAAGAUUUAUCGGGGAAGGAUUAGCCCGCGUUGGAUUAGGUAGUUGGUGGGGUAAUGGCCUACCAAGCCGACGAUCCAUAGCUGGUUUGAGAGGAUGAUCAGCCACACUGGGACUGAGACACGGCCCAGACUCCUACGGGAGGCAGCAGUGGGGAAUCUUAGACAAUGGGGGCAACCCUGAUCUAGCCAUGCCGCGUGAGUGAUGAAGGCCUUAGGGUUGUAAAGCUCUUUCAGCUGGGAAGAUAAUGACGGUACCAGCAGAAAAAGCCCCGGCUAACUCCGUG